This is a non-coding RNA of Drosophila melanogaster (fruit fly), 520 nucleotides long. Lineage: Eukaryota; Metazoa; Arthropoda; Insecta; Diptera; Drosophilidae. The record is from Ensembl.
UAUCGGAAAUCGGGCACUAUAUUUAAAAUAUCGUAUUGAAUUUCAAAUCCGGGUUUUGUUAGUCAUUUUUUAUACGUUUUAUAAUUAUUUUCUUUCUGUUGAAUUUUAAACUCCGAUGUAUCCCGCCGUGUCCGCUGUUUACCGCCGACGUCCAGCUGACGGUUCCACCCUUCUUUAACUUACAUAUGUAUAUGUACAUUUCAACGAAUCUAGUAUACCCUUUCAGUCUACGAAAAUUUUAAUCUUAGUUCAAUCAAAUGAUGUAUAUUAGUAUAUAGGUACAUAGUCGAUGGCCUCGGUUAUAUUAUCUUAAAUAAAUAAAUAAUGAAGGAUUGAUGAAUUUAUAAUGCAUAUUUGUCUUAAAAACGCUGAGAUUGGUUUGCUUGGACGUGAGCAGGAAGUUCUAUUCCUGCGACUUUUGUUAGAACCCAAGGAAAAUAUUACAUACCAUUCUAGUUCUUAGCUUAGUUCAAUCAUAAAGUUAUAUGUCAAAAUCCUUUAAGAGGAGCAUGCAAAUGGG